This 92-nucleotide transfer RNA is filed under the name Clostridiales bacterium. RNAcentral describes it as "tRNA-Ser". It matches the Rfam family "tRNA". Rfam says of the family: Transfer RNA (tRNA) molecules are approximately 80 nucleotides in length. Their secondary structure includes four short double-helical elements and three loops (D, anti-codon, and T loops). RNAcentral also lists the same sequence under 2 other names. Lineage: Bacteria; Bacillati; Bacillota; Clostridia; Eubacteriales. The record is from RNAcentral.
GGAGAUAUACCCAAGUUGGCCGAAGGGGCGCCCCUGCUAAGGGUGUAGGUCGGGAUACCGGCGCGAGAGUUCAAAUCUCUCUAUCUCCGCCA